Molecule: non-coding RNA, 151 nt
Filed under: Pongo abelii (Sumatran orangutan)
Lineage: Eukaryota; Metazoa; Chordata; Mammalia; Primates; Hominidae
Source: Rfam by way of RNAcentral
GCCGGGUGUGGUGGUGCACACCUGUAGUCCCAGCUACUCUGGAGGCUGAGGUGGGAGGGUCACUUGGACCCAGGAGGCCUCAGAGGUUGCAGUGAGCCAAGAUUGCGUCACUGCACUCUAGCCUGGGUAACAGAGUGAGACCCUGUAUUUA